Drosophila nasuta is the source of this 870-nucleotide long non-coding RNA. RefSeq lists it as uncharacterized. The transcript is spliced from 3 exons. The record is from RefSeq and is a predicted model, not a curated record. NCBI's taxonomy places the organism in Eukaryota, Metazoa, Arthropoda, Insecta, Diptera, Drosophilidae.
UGUAGUAAUAUAUUUAAAUUCAAUUUUUGUCAACCAAAAUUGUUUACUUCGCAAGCAAACUAAACAAGUUUAUUAUUCAAUUGCUGUUAGAUAUUUUAAUCCGCACUUAUUAAUCCAACACAAUGGACUUCAUUUAGCUGGCAAGGGCAUUACGCAUUCGCCAAGCCCAUGAAUAACUCUUGUUUCGUUUACUUUCGGUGGGUAAGAGCGUGUCCUGCUUAAUUUAAAUUAAUUAAAUUACUGCACACUCGACCAUCGUUGGCCAAAACCCACAUAUUGCGAUUGAAUGAGGGCUUAAAGAGCUAAGCGUAAAGAGCUGCACGAGCUGAGGACAGUAAGGUCAAUGCUGUAUUGAAAUUAAUUAGACUUUUGGAAUUCCAACGAGAAAUAAAAAGAAUUACAAAUUGAAAACGUAAUCGAAAUCGAUUUGGCCACAUUCGGUGGCAGCCAAAACGUCAACAGGUCUUUGGCAUUUGUUUCAAUUUUCGAAAAGUGAAAAAAACUGAAAAAAAACUGAAUUUGUAUUUAUCGGUUAACGAGUCGGAGUUACUGGAAUUUGAGCUGGUUAAUUACGAUAACUGGCCAUUAACACAUUAAAGCAAGACGCUUUUUUUAAAAGCCGGCGUUUUGUUAGCCACGUUAACACACAAAUGUUGGCCACGAUGACGAAGACGAAGACGAAGCCGAAACUGAAGACGAUGACGCCGACAAAUAUGCGAUUCCACACAUGACUCGCGAUCUCGAAUGUUUGUUUGCUUUUGUGGGGGCCCCUCUGACCUUGAUAUACAUAAAUUAUGGUUCACUUGCGGCCGCUUUGUAUCAAGUAAUCAUAACGAAAUAUUUUCAAACAUUUUCAUGCAUAUUUUUAUA